GUUGAAUAUGACAUGAUCUGGAUUUGCAUGUUGUAAGAUAUUGGAUCCUUUCUUAUUUCUACAUGUAAUAAGUGGCGGGUUGUUUAUCAGUUUUAAUCUGCAUUGAAAUUUUAAUCAACAGCCAAGUGAUUAAAAGUGCAUUUCUUAUGCUUAUAUGUCAUAUUUAUGAACUUUCGUUUGAGAAACUAUGUCAAACAUGUCCACAGCAGUUCUUUUUCUUUUCUAAUAACUAUAAAAAGUAUUACCAUAUGGAAUUUUAUUGCUCUCAAUUCUGAAUUUAUUAUUUUUUUCAGAAUAUUUUACUUGUUUGACGGCUAUAGCACUGUUCUUGCUAUUCAUUUUCUGUGUGGCAGCAGAUUUCUGUUUUUCUCUUUCUGUUCUCGUAAUUAUUUAUUUAUUUUUGGGUCUGCGUUGGGAAUUUUUAAGUUGAUUGAUGUGAUAUGGGUAUCUGCAUCCUCAUUUUCAUUUGCUUCUUUUAUUCCUUUUUAUUUUCCAUUUUUUUUUUCAUUUUAAUGGAAACUCUUUGCAUUUCUUCGUCAAAGGGUGAGUCAUAUGGCUGAAAUAAUCCCUUCAUUUUGAUUACUUUUCUCCCCUAUAUGAAUGUUAGAUUGGAAUUUUUGACUAAUGAGGGAAGUUUGAGAUAAUUAUAUAAUACUGAUAGUCAAUCAUUUAGCUUUUUUCAUUAAGUUUAUGAUAUGCUUGGCAAUGAUGUUUGUUUCCAAUUGCCCUACUAUAUCAUUAUGAGAUAUUGAAUGUCUGAGUACUAAAGGUAGUUUUUGUCAUGUUAGACGCUCAUGGUCAUUUUGAAAUUACAACUCUAUGCAUGAGGAGCAUAUAUUUUGACUAAAGAACACUUGGUGCCUUUGUAUAUGUACUCCCAGCCAAACAUACUGCAAGGUUUUCCUUGCUUUGCUUGUAGAAGUACAAUAGUCUUGUAUCAUGCUUGCCCACUGCUUGCUACUUUCUAAGAAAUAUUUUUAAUAAUGCCAUUUUUUCUGUUGACAACUGAACAUUCAAAUUGGCGUAGUUAUUAUUUAGAUAAACAUGAUGGGCAGAAUGGCGGGUAAAAACAACAUUACUUACUUUUAUACGAAUACAUCUGUUUUUGGUCCUACAGUUAACUAUUAACUUACCUGUGAUACAGUUUCAGAAGUUCUAAUCUACCCAUAAAUGCUUUCUUGUUCUGUAAUUACAAUAACAAUACGCAGAACACAUUACUUCUUCUUUUAUCAUAGUUCUGCUUGUUUGAUUGGUGGAACUUUCUUACAUGAGAUGGCCAUUAUUUAGUUUUUACUCACAUUUUUAAAUUUUUUGAUGUCAAAAGAAAUUUUAGGGACAUCUCUAGUGCAUGAGAUUCCUUGCUUUGUGAGGAUUAGGAGAAGGUACAGCUAUCUAUUUUUUGCACAGCCUAUCCAUUGAUUUUUUCUUUUUCAGUUGCUGUUUCCAUGAGUUAGACAGCUGAUUUUCUGGUCACAAAGAAGUAACCUCGCCACAGUGCCAAAGCUUGUCUUUGUAGAAAAUACAGCAUGAAGGAUAGGAUAUCUUCUAGAAUCACAUUUAGUGUCUACGUUUAUUUUAUACUUUUUUUCUCCUUCGUAAGUAUAUGGUCACACCUGGCCACUCGCAUUCAUAAAUAUGUUUUAAUGAGCAUAAAGAAGAAGGGCACAUUAGCCAUUAGGAGCAACUAAGGUAGCAUUUCUAGUUAAUUUUAGAAUCUUAUGUCUUCUUUCACUCUGGAUGGAAAUUUUGUUAGUCUUUUGCCCAGGCAUAACACCUUUGCUUUAUGUCUUGAAUGCUGCUGAACAUUCCCAUUGCAGAUGCGAUCCCUACGACAAAAGCCAUGCUCUUGCAAAUAUAUGUAGCUAUGAAGGCUAUGCCGUGGUACUGUGCUCUCCCAUCUGUUUCUGAGUACAUGGUUGAAAAUGGCUGGACAAAAUGUUUUGCAAGCAUAUGUGAUGUUGGUUGGUUUGCCUACAUCAUGUCUUUAAUUGCAUAUUUUGUUGUGGUGGAGUUUGGGAUUUACUGGAUGCACAGAGAAUUACAUGAUAUAAAACCUCUAUACAAGUAUCUUCAUGCAACCCAUCACAUCUAUAACAAGCAGAAUACUCUUUCUCCAUUUGCAGGUUUGGCAUUUCACCCGCUCGACGGAAUACUGCAAGCAGUCCCGCAUGUUAUAGCUUUGUUCAUCAUUCCUACACAUUUUAGAUCACAUGUAGCUCUCUUAUUCCUUGAGGCCAUAUGGACUGCAAACAUUCAUGAUUGUAUUCAUGGCAAGAUCUGGCCUAUUAUGGGUGCCGGCUAUCACACCAUCCACCAUACUUCAUAUCGGCAUAAUUAUGGCCAUUAUACCAUAUGGAUGGAUUGGAUGCUGGGUACCCUUCGUGACCCCGAGGAAGAUGUCUUUGAGAAGGUUAAGUGAUACACAAUUACACAUCUGUAUGCCUUGACAUAAUGCUCGUACAUUGUCAGUACUUUGUUAGGUGCACGUCCAUUUUGGUUGUGGUACUUCUGAUAUGUGCCUUUUGUAUGCAAAUGUUCUUGUUCUUUUAAAUAGAAGGUUUGUUUGUCUGCUUAAACAACUUGCAGCUUUGAUCUCAGCCCUAUAACCCAUGUACUCGAUCUAUUUCUGUUGUGUAAGUUGUUAUGUUGGGAAUGUAUUUUUCAAUUGAUGGAUGUCGCUAAUUCGCAAUCCUGUAUUUUCUGUGCGUAUGCUGUGCCAAGUGUGUUAUGGGAAAUGCAAUGUGGAAAGCAAGCAAGCAACAUGUUUGCCAUUUCAAUGAAUUAGAAGAUGGAACUCUAUCAUAUAAGCGGG
This 2812-nucleotide unclassified non-coding RNA is filed under the name Hevea brasiliensis (rubber tree). Lineage: Eukaryota; Viridiplantae; Streptophyta; Magnoliopsida; Malpighiales; Euphorbiaceae. The record is from RNAcentral.